RNAcentral lists this ribosomal RNA (453 nucleotides) under uncultured bacterium. RNAcentral's name for it is "bacterial SSU rRNA". It matches the Rfam family "Bacterial small subunit ribosomal RNA", at positions 330 to 793 of the family's 1533-position model. The record is from RNAcentral.
CCCAGACUCCUACGGGUGGCAGCAGUAGGGAAUUUUCGGCAAUGGGGGGAACCCUGACCGAGCAACGCCGCGUGAACGAAGAAGUUAUUCGUAAUGUAAAGUUCUUUUAUCAGGGAAGAAAGAGGAAUUUGACGGCACCUGAGGAAUAAGCUCCGGCUAACUACGUGCCAGCAGCCGCGGUAAUACGCAGGGAGCAAGCGUUAUCCGGAAUUAUUGGGUGUAAAGGGUGCGUAGACGGGACAGCAAGUUAGUUGUGAAAGCCCUCGGCUUAACUGAGGAACUGCAACUAAAACUAUUGUUCUUGAGUGCAGGAGAGGAAAGCGGAAUUCCUGGUGUAGCGGUGAAAUGCGUAGAUAUUAGGAGGAACGCCAGUGGCGAAGGCGGCUUUCUGGACUGUAACUGACGUUGAGGCACGAAAGUGUGGGGAGCAAACAGGAUUAGAUACCCUGGUAC